GUAGUCCACGCUGUAAACGUUGGGCGCUAGGUGUGGGGGGCCUCUCCGGUUCUCUGUGCCGCAGCUAACGCAUUAAGCGCCCCGCCUGGGGAGUACGGCCGCAAGGCUAAAACUCAAAGGAAUUGACGGGGGCCCGCACAAGCGGCGGAGCAUGCGGAUUAAUUCGAUGCAACGCGAAGAACCUUACCUGGGUUUGACAUGGCCGCAAAACUGUCAGAGAUGGCAGGUCCUUCGGGGGCGGUCACAGGUGGUGCAUGGCUGUCGUCAGCUCGUGUCGUGAGGUGUUGGGUUAAGUCCCGCAACGAGCGCAACCCUCGCUGCCAGUUACCAUGUCUGGCGGGACCGCCGGGUCCAACCCGGAGGAAGGUGGGGAUGACGUCAAGUCAGCACGGCUCUUACGUCUAGGGCUACACACACGCUACAAUGGCCGGUACAACGCGCAGCGAUGGGGCGACCCGGAGCGAAUCGCAUCAAAGCCGGUCUCAGUUGGGAUUGCAGGCUGCAACUCGCCUGCAUGAACGCGGAGUUGCUAGUAACCGCAGGUCAGCACACUGCGGUGAAUACGUUCCCGGGCCUUGUACACACCGCCCGUCACGUCAUGAAAGUUGGAGACGCCUGAAGUCGGUCAGUGAACCUUUAUGGACACAGCCGCCGAGGGUGGUGCCAGCGAUUGGGACG
RNAcentral lists this ribosomal RNA (678 nucleotides) under uncultured bacterium. RNAcentral describes it as "bacterial SSU rRNA". It matches the Rfam family "Bacterial small subunit ribosomal RNA", at positions 790 to 1482 of the family's 1533-position model. The record is from RNAcentral.